Molecule: ribosomal RNA, 301 nt
Filed under: uncultured bacterium
Lineage: Bacteria
Description: partial 16S ribosomal RNA
Rfam family: Bacterial small subunit ribosomal RNA
Source: RNAcentral
CAGUCGCCACGGUAAUACGGAGGGGGCUAGCGUUGUUCGGAAUUACUGGGCGUAAAGCGCGCGUAGGCGGUUACUCAAGUCAGAGGUGAAAGCCCGGGGCUCAACCCCGGAACUGCCUUUGAAACUAGGUGACUAGAAUCUUGGAGAGGUCAGUGGAAUUCCGAGUGUAGAGGUGAAAUUCGUAGAUAUUCGGAAGAACACCAGUGGCGAAGGCGACUGACUGGACAAGUAUUGACGCUGAGGUGCGAAAGCGUGGGGAGCAAACAGGAUUAGAUACCCCAGUAGUCCCUGUCUCUUAUAC